GCUUUCGUGGUGUAGUGGUUAGCACGCUGGUCGUGUAUUCCAGAGUUUCGAGGUUCGAGUCCCGGCGCAGGUG
RNAcentral lists this transfer RNA (73 nucleotides) under Stegodyphus mimosarum. It matches the Rfam family "tRNA". From Rfam's summary of the family: Transfer RNA (tRNA) molecules are approximately 80 nucleotides in length. Lineage: Eukaryota; Metazoa; Arthropoda; Arachnida; Araneae; Eresidae. The record is from Rfam by way of RNAcentral.